Centruroides sculpturatus (bark scorpion) is the source of this 141-nucleotide long non-coding RNA. RefSeq lists it as uncharacterized. The transcript has 2 exons. The record is from RefSeq and is a predicted model, not a curated record. Lineage: Eukaryota; Metazoa; Arthropoda; Arachnida; Scorpiones; Buthidae.
CUUUAUGAAGAGAUUUGGCAAGAUUCCUCUCGGCAUAUCCAUUGGCGGAUUCUUCUACAUAAAACGGGAUUUUCCGAUAAGAGUAAUCAGUUCUCUUUAUUCGAUAUUUUCUUCGUGUAUUGAAGUGAGCGGAAUUUUGAA